UAUUACUGUGAUUUCACAAUACCUUACAGUAUUAUUUCACAGUAAAUUACUGUACUCAAACAUUUACUGUAAAAUCACAGUAGCUCUAUCACAUUACAGCACCUUGUUGUGAAAUUUGAAUUGCACUUGAACCGCACAGCAUUGUGGGGCGAUUUCUAACGUUCACCCCUCCCACCCGCACCUGCCACCCUCAACUGAAUUUUCAACUCAGCCGUCCACCAGUGACUUCAAUCAUCACUUUUCUGCAUGUGUAAGCUGUACAAACUCUGCCAUCAUAUCCAAGACAUUGCAUUGUGAGGACUGUUGCCCUGGGAACACUGAGCGCAUUCUCGAAAAUUCCAAAUUUGUGCCACUUCCAUACGAAGACAGCCCAGAAUAAUUGGGCUCCAUCAACCAUCCCGGGUAAAGUCGGUCUGUCC
Sardina pilchardus (European sardine) is the source of this 419-nucleotide long non-coding RNA. RefSeq lists it as uncharacterized. The record is from RefSeq and is a predicted model, not a curated record. The transcript has 3 exons. Lineage: Eukaryota; Metazoa; Chordata; Actinopteri; Clupeiformes; Clupeidae.